Leptobrachium leishanense (Leishan spiny toad) is the source of this 191-nucleotide small nuclear RNA. Its record names the gene U2. It matches the Rfam family "U2 spliceosomal RNA". Rfam says of the family: U2 is a small nuclear RNA (snRNA) component of the spliceosome (involved in pre-mRNA splicing). Complementary binding between U2 snRNA (in an area lying towards the 5' end but 3' to hairpin I) and the branchpoint sequence (BPS) of the intron results the bulging out of an unpaired adenosine, on the BPS, which initiates a nucleophilic attack at the intronic 5' splice site, thus starting the first of two transesterification reactions that mediate splicing. The record is from Ensembl. Lineage: Eukaryota; Metazoa; Chordata; Amphibia; Anura; Megophryidae.
AUCGCUUCUCGGCCUUUUGGCUAAGAUCAAGUGUAGUAUCUGUUCUUAUCAGUUUAAUAUCUGAUACGCCCCCUAUCUGGGGGCCAUAUAUUAAAUGGAUUUUUAGAACAGGGAGAUGGAAGAAGAGCUUGCUCUGUCCACUCCACGCAUUGACCUGGUAUUGCAGUACCUCCAGGACCGGUGCACCAGAA